This 73-nucleotide transfer RNA is filed under the name Danio rerio (zebrafish). RNAcentral describes it as "tRNA-Ala (CGC) (tRNA-Ala-CGC-7-1, tRNA-Ala-CGC-7-2)". It matches the Rfam family "tRNA". From Rfam's summary of the family: Transfer RNA (tRNA) molecules are approximately 80 nucleotides in length. Their secondary structure includes four short double-helical elements and three loops (D, anti-codon, and T loops). The record is from Rfam by way of RNAcentral. Lineage: Eukaryota; Metazoa; Chordata; Actinopteri; Cypriniformes; Danionidae.
GUUUCCGUAGUGUAGUGGUUAUCACGUUCGCCUCGCACGCGAAAGGUCCCCAGUUCGAAACUGGGUGGAAACA